RNAcentral lists this long non-coding RNA (1897 nucleotides) under Cucumis sativus (cucumber). RNAcentral describes it as "long non-coding RNA (CSAT_LNC003106)". Lineage: Eukaryota; Viridiplantae; Streptophyta; Magnoliopsida; Cucurbitales; Cucurbitaceae. The record is from RNAcentral.
UUUUCAAAUGUUGAAAACUUUUGCCUCUUUUAUCAUUUUCAUCAUCUCAACAAAAAAAAAAGAAAGCUUCCAAUCUCAUUUUAUCUCCAUUACUUUCUACACCAAAAUUGGGUCCCACAACCCGGUUCUUUGUCUAGAGGAUAGCAGUUGAGUACUAGUGGUGGUCUCGGGUAGAAUUGGUAAGAAGACAUCAAACCUUUUGAAAGCUUCAAAGGUAAUACUUCUUAAAACCCUAAUUUGAUUAGUUUAUGGUUACAUGUUAAUUGUGGCAAUUAGGGUAGAAAUUCGAUUCUUUUUCCGCUGUGCAUGACUUAGUUCUAUCACUAUCAUCAAUUGAUGCAUGAUAACUCGUAUUUUGCUAACCAUACGUGUGGAGAUUGUAGCAAUAUAAUCUUGUCCUCAAAUUUGUUUCUUGCAUAUAUCCCAGAGAUGAAUGAUAUGUGUAGCGAUAGCACUGAGAGGUUGCUCACCUUAAUAAGUGCAAAUUACUUAUAAUCCAAAUAAACAAAAAAGAUACAAAUUAUAGAUUAACUCCAAAUAUUUGGAUCUUAAGAGACGAGCAAGUAUGGAGAAAGCACUGAGAAGUUCCUCACCUUAAUUAUGAAGUUAAUAGAUGUUUUAUAUUGCCUCGAAAUGUUAAACUCUCAUGUUUUACAUAUGAUUAGCUAAAUUUUCCUUCACUACCACACCAAACCACCGAGUCAUGUUUUAUCACACUUCACCACCAUAUUCACCUUGAUGCUCUUACUAGCACCAUUAGUGUAAAUAGCUAGAAAUUUACACUGUGCAUAUUUUAUACAAUAUACUCACUACAUAAGAUUAUGACAUGAGAUAAAUUCAUUUUUGGAAACUAAUUUCCUGUGUUCAACUAUGGACUUUUCACAAAAUCUCUUUCGAUGUUUGGAAUUGGCGAGAAAGAGGAAACUUGUACUAAUGUUUCAUCAUCAUGCAUGUGGCAACACAUAGGUAAGGCGCACACCUUUUAUCACAUAACACUAACCUAGACGUCAUGUUUAGUCGCAUUAUUUGAGCUUUGCAUGGUUGACGAAGCUAAAGAUGUAUAUGCUAAAUGAUACAAUCCAGUAGAUCAAUUUAUGAUGUUAAUGCAACAAAAUUAAGUCCUUGGAGACCAUAUUAAUUCUAAAGUUAAAUUCAAAGAAAUUGUAGUAAGGAGGGUGCUUACCGUUUUAGCUUCAACUAAAAGAAUUUAUAGAAUUUGCCUUACUUUUUGUUUCGUAGUAAUGUAGAAGUAAAGUGCUGAACCCUAGAGAAUCUGGGGAAGUAGAAAUUCAAAUUGAAAUCUAAAAACGAAUCUCAAGAAGGUGGUUAGAAGACAAAAGAAAUCACUAAAAAUAUUGUGCAAGAAUGUAAAAGAGAGCUUUUAGUGGCAACAGACAAGAAGAAGAUUAGAGAAGACAAAUUUCAUUUGAUUCUUAUUUCAAAUCUACAAAGACAAUGAAUUAACUCUCAACAGAAGUAUUGUGGCAUGGAGUAUGGGGAUUUAUUGCAACUUUUAUGGGUGUAGUACAAGAGAAAAUAAGAAUGCUUACCAUUCGACUCUUAAUCAAGUCACCUUUUGAAAUCAACUUGCUUGAUUUUUCUUUGGGUGAUUUGACUAUGAUCCAAGAAUUGAGAGUAAUUCAAACUUGAAGUUUCUUUUUAUGAUUUGACUAAGAUCCAAGACUUGCUCUCUAUUUGAAAGUCAUAUCAUUCAAACAACGAGAUGACAUUACAAUAGAUGACAUUACAAUAGAUGACGUUACAAUUCAUAAGAGAAGUUCACAAUGGCAAGAUUGACAAUUGAACCAAAGAAAAUUCAGUCUAGAAUUCAUCUUUUAUUUUCAUUAAGAAACUAGUAUAUCUUACGUACAUAGAAUUAAUAUUAAAUUGAACUCAA